CAGGAUGAGGUGGAGUGCAGCG
Molecule: microRNA, 22 nt
Filed under: Mus musculus (house mouse)
Lineage: Eukaryota; Metazoa; Chordata; Mammalia; Rodentia; Muridae
Description: mmu-miR-8104
Source: miRBase by way of RNAcentral